Trichonephila clavipes is the source of this 73-nucleotide non-coding RNA. NCBI's taxonomy places the organism in Eukaryota, Metazoa, Arthropoda, Arachnida, Araneae, Nephilidae. The record is from the annotation of a GenBank genome assembly.
GCCCAGCCAGUAUAAUGGAUAUGACCCUCGAAUUAUAACCGAGUGGGUUCGGGUUCGAAUCCCGAGCUAGGCA